RNAcentral lists this long non-coding RNA (454 nucleotides) under Glycine max (soybean). Its description in RNAcentral is "long non-coding RNA (GMAX_LNC000464)". The record is from RNAcentral. Lineage: Eukaryota; Viridiplantae; Streptophyta; Magnoliopsida; Fabales; Fabaceae.
GCUCUUCACACGCACCACUCAAUUGAUACCUAUCACUUGGUGGGUAUGGGGAAUCAAGGCAACCGACUCCUUUUUUUUCUUUUGAUUGUAAUAUAAUACUCAAAUAGUAAUAAUAAUAAUAAUAACACUUUUGGUCUAUCAAUAUUGGGAUUGUGUGAUUCUAGUCAUGUUCACGUCGCAGAAUACUAACAGGAACACACGGAGGAUAUGUCAAUCUCAAAAGCUCAGCAAAUACUACUCAACUUAGUAAUGCUUCAAAAAUGCUAAACACCACCUAGUGCUCCCUUGAUUGAUUGGUCAUUUGUUGUGGAGGUCCCUUGCUCGGCUCGUGUCAUACCAACCAAUCUCUUGGUUGGACGGUUCACAAUCCUUUAAGCACGGAGUCUUGUAAAAACAUAAAUGCUUUAAGUGUCUUGAUGUAUCAUGCAACAUUGAAAGAAAGAAAAUAUCAAAG